ACCUAAAUUCGUACGUGCUUCAGAGAACCCGCGUUUUCUCGGGUUUUAUAUUUGUGAAUUUUGCGAUUAAACAGAGAGAAAAUGGCAGCGACAUCUCAGACAAGUGACGAACCAAGUACAUCCAAAAAAAUUUCAGUUUUUUUAUGCAGACACAAAUAAAUUAUAUGAAUGUUAUUUAUCCCCGGAGGAUGCUCAACGGGUAUCAAUAGAUAUGGUAUUUGUUCAACGCAUUUUUAAUGGAUUGAUUCAUAAUGCACGUACAGAAAAUAACAAUGAAAACAAUCCUUACCUCGAAGUUUACCAGUACAUGAAGCCAUUCAUGAUGUUGAUAUUGCAGAAUCAUCGCAGGUCUCUGUUAGUGGUAGAGGAAUGAUUUGGACACAUGAGCAAAUAUUGCUUUUAAUAAAUUUAUAUCGCUAAGAAUAUGCAAACAUGAGCAGUGGCAAAAUGGUCCUACGAAAGAUGUGGCAACUGGUAGCUGAAGAAAUGAAGAAAAAGGGUUAUGACAUUCUCGCGUGUAAAUGUGCCACUAAAAUGAAAGAAUAUCGUUAU
Molecule: long non-coding RNA, 552 nt
Organism: Mycetomoellerius zeteki
Lineage: Eukaryota; Metazoa; Arthropoda; Insecta; Hymenoptera; Formicidae
Exons: 4
Source: RefSeq, a predicted model, not a curated record